UCAUUUUAAUUUUUCACUCUAUUUGUUGUGACGCUUUUUUUAUUUUUAUUUUUUACUUUAUUUUUUGUAAAAUAUUAUAAUUUUUGUUUUUUUUGUAAAAGUGUUUAAAAUUUGGUUUUUGAACUGGAUUAGUACCCAGGUAAACAAAAUUUAUUAAUUCGGGAGUAAAGUUUUUUUUAAACCGAAAAAAUAUUGACUGACUUUGGAUUUUUCUUUGGAACAUGUGUUUGGGAGAGCCCUCCUUUAUUGUUAGUUUUAUAGGCUCAUGUAUGAUUGUUUAGUUUUUAUUUUUUUUAUAAUGCUAUUUUUUGUUUUUAUUUAAAACAGAUAUAUAUUUGGUUUAUAUUCUAUUUUUUCAUGUGUUACUAUUAUUAAUUUUUCGGAUAAGAUUUUAUAUUUUUUGAAGUGGAAAGAAGUAAUUUUAUUUUAUGUGAUAGUAUGAU
This 443-nucleotide ribosomal RNA is filed under the name Setaria labiatopapillosa. RNAcentral's name for it is "partial 12S ribosomal RNA". Lineage: Eukaryota; Metazoa; Nematoda; Chromadorea; Rhabditida; Setariidae. The record is from RNAcentral.